RNAcentral lists this ribosomal RNA (50 nucleotides) under uncultured bacterium. RNAcentral describes it as "partial 16S ribosomal RNA". The record is from RNAcentral.
UGGGUAACCUGCCUCAAAGAGGGGAAUAGCCUCCCGAAAGGGAGAUUAAA